This 497-nucleotide ribosomal RNA is filed under the name uncultured bacterium. RNAcentral's name for it is "partial 16S ribosomal RNA". It matches the Rfam family "Bacterial small subunit ribosomal RNA", at positions 28 to 507 of the family's 1533-position model. The record is from RNAcentral.
GAUGAACGCUGGCGGCGUGCCUAAUACAUGCAAGUCGAGCGAACGGACGAGAAGCUUGCUUCUCUGAUGUUAGCGGCGGACGGGUGAGUAACACGUGGAUAACCUACCUAUAAGACUGGGAUAACUUCGGGAAACCCGAGCUAAUACCGGAUAAUAUUUUGAACCGCAUGGUUCAAAAGUGAAAGACGGUCUUGCUGUCACUUAUAGAUGGAUCCGCGCUGCAUUAGCUAGUUGGUAAGGUAACGGCUUACCAAGGCAACGAUGCAUAGCCGACCUGAGAGGGUGAUCGGCCACACUGGAACUGAGACACGGUCCAGACUCCUACGGGAGGCAGCAGUAGGGAAUCUUCCGCAAUGGGCGAAAGCCUGACGGAGCAACGCCGCGUGAGUGAUGAAGGUCUUCGGAUCGUAAAACUCUGUUAUUAGGGAAGAACAUAUGUGUAAGUAACUGUGCACAUCUUGACGGUACCUAAUCAGAAAGCCACGGCUAACUACGUG